AUCCUGGGCUGAGGUGGGGACUGGGUCAUUCCCCCAGUCCCUCCAUGCCUCUCCUGCCAGCCUCGGAGGCCUUCCCUUCAUUCCUGGAGUCUGAAAUGCUGAGUUGUGGCUCUGUGCCAGCUGCUGAGGAUUCGGCAUGAACAAGGCCUGCGCCCAGCUUGGCAUAGACUGUAGGGGGCAACCCGUCAGGAGGCUUCAUCCCGUUCCUGGUGGAGAGGAGGCUGGGCUGGCAGCGCAGUGUACUGGGACUUGGUGGCCACGGCUGGGAGUUGCCCGUGUGUGAACAACUGGAUGACCAGAUCCUCUGAGGCCCUUGGAACUACUGCAACCUCCAUGCCUUCCCUGGAGCUGAGCUUAGCUGACUGUGACCAGGGAGGAAGAGAAAACACCUCUGGUGCAGAGGGCGGGG
Molecule: long non-coding RNA, 409 nt
Organism: Cervus elaphus (red deer)
Lineage: Eukaryota; Metazoa; Chordata; Mammalia; Artiodactyla; Cervidae
Exons: 3
Source: RefSeq, a predicted model, not a curated record